Molecule: long non-coding RNA, 615 nt
Filed under: Androctonus crassicauda
Lineage: Eukaryota; Metazoa; Arthropoda; Arachnida; Scorpiones; Buthidae
Source: RNAcentral
AGGACGGGAAUGGAUGGGCUGGGUCCGGACACCAUGAUAAAUAUUUUCAAGGGAUGGGAACCGAGACUCGAACCCAGGUCCUCUAGAGUGGAAAGCCGAAGCAUUUCAAAUUGAAUUCCUGGACAUUGAUAUCAGAUGUGGCGCAGGUGAGUGUGCUCUUUCCGUUUUUGGGAGAAAUAUUUAUGUCCCUUUCUUUGUUGGAGCGGGGGCGGGUGAACCAUGGAAUUUUGGGUUGGCGGCCUUUGGAGCACUGCUGGGCGGAGCCUUUACACACUGUACUUUGGUGGAGGAUAGGCGGCGGGAGAUGGAAUGGAUAUUGCAGCGGGCCGUGGAGCAUGGUUGUGGGAAGAGUGUCGUCGGCGGGCUUCUUGGAGAGAUUGGUGGAGCUGAGCAGGGUGGUAAUAGUGAUGAGCAGGUGGAUGAUGGACCGCCAUAUACGAUGGACAUUGGUUCUAUCACGUUAAAGUUUGGAAGGAGACUGGAGAGGCUCUCGGGACGGGGAGUCGCCUUCCACAGAGGAGGUGCUUUGUUCAACCGUGUCGGAGGCGACAGGGAUGGGGUUGGCUGGGCUGUCUCCCCGGAGUGUAUCGGAUUCCUUUCCUGGAUGGUGGUACC